Molecule: ribosomal RNA, 395 nt
Filed under: uncultured bacterium
Lineage: Bacteria
Description: partial 16S ribosomal RNA
Rfam family: Bacterial small subunit ribosomal RNA
Source: RNAcentral
AUACGUAGGGUGCAAGCGUUAAUCGGAAUUACUGGGCGUAAAGCGUGCGCAGGCGGUUUUGUAAGACAGAGGUGAAAUCCCCGGGCUCAACCUGGGAACUGCCUUUGAGACUGCAAGGCUAGAGUACGGCAGAGGGGGGUGGAAUUCCGCGUGUAGCAGUGAAAUGCGUAGAUAUGCGGAGGAACACCGAUGGCGAAGGCAAUCCCCUGGGCCUGUACUGACGCUCAUGCACGAAAGCGUGGGGAGCAAACAGGAUUAGAUACCCUGGUAGUCCACGCCCUAAACGAUGUCAACUGGUUGUUGGGUCUUCAUUGACUCAGUAACGAAGCUAACGCGUGAAGUUGACCGCCUGGGGAGUACGGCCGCAAGGUUGAAACUCAAAUGAAUUGGCGGGG